GUAAAUCUUCAAAUAAAAGAUGUCAUCUUCAAUGUCCAAACUAGUCUUGGGACUAUCAUGUUCAAUUACCCUCGGAAUCGUAAGCUAUGUACACAUCAAGCAAAAAGCAGACAGGGAUAAAAUGCAUGAGGGAGUAAUAAAGGACAUAGAAAGGCAACAAAGGCGGAAAAUUGAGAACCUGUACAUGUUAGAAAGACAAAAUGAUCUUACUAAACAGCUGAAAAAGGAAAUGGAAAGCUCUUAGGAAAAGAUGUUAAUGAAACAAUAUUUGUUAAAUAGUUUCUAUUUAUUCUAAUAGACCAAAAAAUAUUACAUUAAAACUGCAGAUAUUA
Non-coding RNA from Plutella xylostella (diamondback moth), 332 nucleotides. NCBI's taxonomy places the organism in Eukaryota, Metazoa, Arthropoda, Insecta, Lepidoptera, Plutellidae. The record is from RefSeq and is a predicted model, not a curated record.